AUUUAGAGGAAGUAAAAGUCGUAACAAGGUCUCCGUUGGUGAACCAGCGGAGGGAUCAUUACAGAGUUGCAAAACUCCCACAAACCAUCGCGAAUCUUACCCGUACGGUUGCCUCGGCGCUGGCGGUCCGGAAGGCCCUCGGGCCCCCGGAUCCUCGGGUCUCCCGCUCGCGGGAGGCUGCCCGCCGGAGUGCCGAAACCAAACUCUUGAUAUUUUAUGUCUCUCUGAGUAAACUUUUAAAUAAGUCAAAACUUUCAACAACGGAUCUCUUGGUUCUGGCAUCGAUGAAGAACGCAGCGAAAUGCGAUAAGUAAUGUGAAUUGCAGAAUUCAGUGAAUCAUCGAAUCUUUGAACGCACAUUGCGCUCGCCAGUAUUCUGGCGAGCAUGCCUGUUCGAGCGUCAUUUCAACCAUCAAGCUCUGCUUGCGUUGGGGAUCCGCGGCUGCCCGCGGUCCCUCAAAAACAGUGGCGGGCUCGCUAGUCACACCGAGCGUAGUAACUCUACAUCGUUCUGGUCGUGCGGCGGGUUCUUGCCGUAAAACCCCCCAAUUUCUAAGGUKGACCUCGGAUCAGGUAGGAAUACCCGCUGAACUUAAGCAUAUCAAUAAGCGGGAGGAA
This 618-nucleotide ribosomal RNA is filed under the name Neurospora crassa. Its description in RNAcentral is "eukaryotic LSU rRNA". The stretch from base 250 to 403 matches the Rfam family "5.8S ribosomal RNA". The record is from RNAcentral. Lineage: Eukaryota; Fungi; Ascomycota; Sordariomycetes; Sordariales; Sordariaceae.